UCCAUUUAUGAAUUUUAACACAGUAAAGUAACGACUCCUCGCUUUUGACCAAGCCACGAACUGAAGAGUGAAGCCGCAAGUGUGGAGGAAGAAGAGGAAAGAAAACCCCCAAACGACACGAAGACCUCAAAAACGACGACGGAGUAAACAUGCAUUCUUUUGGAUACAGAGCGAACGCCUUGCUGACGUUCGCCGUCACCAUCCUAGCGUUAAUGUGCGCCAUCGCCUCCGUUUCGGACACUUUUAACCACCCUACUCCGUCCGCUGAAAUCCAGAUAUCGAAUAUUAAUUGGUUCCAAAAGCAACCGCAUGGGAAUGACGAGGUCAGCUUGUCGAUGAACAUAACGGCCGACUUGCAGUCAUUGUUCACAUGGAACACAAAGCAGGUUUUCAUAUUUGUUGCGGCUGAGUAUGACACCCCCAAGAAUUCUUUGAACCAAGUUUCUCUAUGGGAUGCUAUAAUUCCUACCAAAGAGCAUGCAAAGUUUUGGAUUCACACCUCAAACAAGUACCGAUUCAUUGAUCAGGGAAGCAAUCUUCGUGGUAAGGAAUUCAACUUGACAAUGCACUGGCAUGUGAUGCCCAAAACUGGCAAGAUGCUUGCGGACAAAAUAGUGUUGUCUGGAUACCGUUUGCCUGAGGAUUACAGAUGAUGGAGUGCUUUGUUUGUAUGAUUUUGCUGUAACUUUAGCUCUUCAAACAUACUGAUGACAGAGGCCAUCUUUGACGCCAAUCGUGUGCCGGAACUUCAGUACAUCACUCCACAUGCUGGCAGCGGAGUAACAAAUUGGAGACGUGAAUAAGUGAAUGAACUGGUUAUCCUUGUAUUUGUUCAUCAGUGACUUUGGCAACCUGUGAAAAACUAUUGUUUGUUGAACUUGUUUAUGAUAACAUGCCGUCCCCUCGGAAAAGCUCAGGAGCCCUGUUUGCGACA
RNA transcript from Tripterygium wilfordii, 934 nucleotides. It is a transcript of the gene named signal peptidase complex subunit 3B, with no coding region annotated. Lineage: Eukaryota; Viridiplantae; Streptophyta; Magnoliopsida; Celastrales; Celastraceae. The transcript is spliced from 7 exons. The record is from RefSeq and is a predicted model, not a curated record.